Molecule: unclassified non-coding RNA, 154 nt
Filed under: uncultured Pleosporales
Lineage: Eukaryota; Fungi; Ascomycota; Dothideomycetes; Pleosporales
Description: sequence contains ITS2
Source: RNAcentral
GUACCCUCCAGCCCUGCUGGGUGUUGGGCGUUUUGUUCCGCCGCGCGCGUGAACUCGCCUCAAAUGCAUUGGCAGCCAGCCGUCCCGUGUGAGAGCGCAGCACAUUUUGCGCUCUCCGCUGGGUGCGGCGGCGUCCACAAGCCUAUACCUUUAC